GACGAACGCUGGCGGCGUGCUUAACACAUGCAAGUCGAACGGAAAGGCCUGCUUUCCCUUGUGGAUUGCGGGUGCUCGAGUGGCGAACGGGUGAGUAACACGUGAGUGAUCUGCCCCCAACUUGGGUAUAAGCCUGGGAAACUGGGUCUAAUUCCCGAUAGGACUGCAGGGUGGUGCCUGUGGUGGAAAACGAUUUUCUAGUGGUUGGGGAUGAGCUCGCGGCCUAUCAGCUUGUUGGUGGGGUAAUGGCCUACCAAGGCGGCGACGGGUAGCCGGCCUGGGAGGGUGGACGGCCACAUUGGGACUGAGAUGCGGCCCAGACUCCUACGGGAGGCAGCAGUGGGGAAUAUUGCACAAUGGGCGGAAGCCUGAUGCAGCGACGCCGCGUGGGGGAUGACGGCCUUCGGGUUGUAAACUCCUUUCGACCGCGAGGAAGCCACCUGGUUGGAAGGGUGGUGACGGUAGUGGUAGAAGAAGCACCGGCUAACUACGUG
RNAcentral lists this ribosomal RNA (494 nucleotides) under uncultured bacterium. Its description in RNAcentral is "partial 16S ribosomal RNA". It matches the Rfam family "Bacterial small subunit ribosomal RNA", at positions 28 to 507 of the family's 1533-position model. The record is from RNAcentral.